GUAAGCUCUUGUUGAUUCAGAAAUACAUGCCUCCGCUCGCAAAACUUCAAACUGCAUUAUCUCUAAAACGACAAUAGAUAUCUCAAAUCUGUUAAAUGAUAAAUGAUCUACAGUUGAAGGACAGCAUUAAAGAAAAAGAAUUGGAACAAUUUCAAAGUUCACCAAGGUCACAAUUAAUCAUCAAAUAUAUGAUGCAAUACCAAACUUAAGAACCGGAAGUCGUAGAGACAUGGGACUAGCACCAUUCAACUCAGGAC
RNAcentral lists this long non-coding RNA (257 nucleotides) under Mytilus galloprovincialis (Mediterranean mussel). Lineage: Eukaryota; Metazoa; Mollusca; Bivalvia; Mytilida; Mytilidae. The record is from RNAcentral.